UUGGAUAAGUGAGGGAUUAGAUAUUCCUUUGUUCCUUCUCAAAGAGUACACGCCUUGGAACUAAUGUAUGACCAUCAACAACUGCAGUAAUCAACAAACCAGGACUUGCCAAGGCCGUGGGCAGCAAAGGCUUCCUGAAGCAGGCAGAACAUUGGGGAAUGUCAACACUGAAACUGGCAAUAGGAAAAAAUCACAGGAGACUGCCUCUGAGACAAGGUGUUUAAACAGAAAAUGUAGAAGGACGAAAGUUAUGAAGUAGACCCGGCGAGGAACACAUGCAGAGUUCUGAAAGGACGGCUCCCCAGGGAAAAAAGAACCUUCUGUACUAGUCACACAUACUCUGUGAGCACUAAGGGAAAAUUUGACUUAACUAUAACUUUUCAAGUGGCAAGAUCUCUGAUAUUCCCUUGGGUCUCUCUGGAUGGUGAAGCUAAAGCAGUAUGCGAUGUGGCCCCUUCGCAGUACUUUGGGGGAGUCAGGAUUCGUGCCCAUGAAGCGAAGAG
This is a long non-coding RNA of Molossus molossus (Pallas's mastiff bat), 503 nucleotides long. RefSeq lists it as uncharacterized. The record is from RefSeq and is a predicted model, not a curated record. The transcript has 3 exons. Lineage: Eukaryota; Metazoa; Chordata; Mammalia; Chiroptera; Molossidae.